RNAcentral lists this ribosomal RNA (641 nucleotides) under Pseudomonas sp. Its description in RNAcentral is "bacterial SSU rRNA". It matches the Rfam family "Bacterial small subunit ribosomal RNA", at positions 898 to 1533 of the family's 1533-position model. Lineage: Bacteria; Pseudomonadati; Pseudomonadota; Gammaproteobacteria; Pseudomonadales; Pseudomonadaceae. The record is from RNAcentral.
AACUCAAAGGAAUUGACGGGGGCCCGCACAAGCGGUGGAGCAUGUGGUUUAAUUCGAAGCAACGCGAAGAACCUUACCAGGUCUUGACAUCCUCUGAAAACCCUAGAGAUAGGGCUUCUCCUUCGGGAGCAGAGUGACAGGUGGUGCAUGGUUGUCGUCAGCUCGUGUCGUGAGAUGUUGGGUUAAGUCCCGCAACGAGCGCAACCCUUGAUCUUAGUUGCCAUCAUUAAGUUGGGCACUCUAAGGUGACUGCCGGUGACAAACCGGAGGAAGGUGGGGAUGACGUCAAAUCAUCAUGCCCCUUAUGACCUGGGCUACACACGUGCUACAAUGGACAAUACAAAGGGCAGCGAAACCGCGAGGUCAAGCAAAUCCCAUAAAGUUGUUCUCAGUUCGGAUUGUAGUCUGCAACUCGACUACAUGAAGCUGGAAUCGCUAGUAAUCGUAGAUCAGCAUGCUACGGUCAAUACGUUCCCGGGUCUUGUACACACCGCCCGUCACACCACGAGAGUUUGUAACACCCGAAGCCGGUGGAGUAACCAUUUGGAGCUAGCCGUCGAAGGUGGGACAAAUGAUUGGGGUGAAGUCGUAACAAGGUAGCCGUAUCGGAAGGUGCGGCUGGAUCACCUCCUUUCUAUGGA